GACGAACGCUGGCGGCGUGCUUAACACAUGCAAGUCGAACGGAAAGGCCCUGCUUUUGGGGGACUCGAGAGGGGAGCGCGGGUGUGUAACACGGGAGUAACGUGCCCUAGACCUUGGGAUAACUUGAGGAAAGUGGGGAUAAUACGGGAUAGGAGCUCCUGAUGCAGGGGGGGGGAUGGAAAGUUUCGGCGGUUGGGGGCGGACUCGCGCCUUAUCAGCUGGUGGGUGGGGUGGUGGCUUACCAAGGGACUGCCGGGUAGCCGGCCUGGGUGGUUGACCGGCCACAUUGGGCCUGGGAUACGGCCCGGACCCCUCCGGGAGGCAGCGGGGGGAAAUUUUGCCCAAUGGGCGGAAGCCUGUUCCGGCACCGCCGCUGGCGGGAUGCCGGCCUCCGGUUGGUAAACCGCUUUCCCCUGUACCGAGGCGUUUGUGACGGUACCUGGUAAAGAAGCACCGGCUAACUACGUG
RNAcentral lists this ribosomal RNA (468 nucleotides) under uncultured bacterium. RNAcentral's name for it is "partial 16S ribosomal RNA". It matches the Rfam family "Bacterial small subunit ribosomal RNA", at positions 28 to 507 of the family's 1533-position model. The record is from RNAcentral.